UCGCGUCACCCUCCCGUACGACAGAAAGAGCGCGGAGGGGCGACCCUCUAGGUUCCUCCGCCGCCGCCGGCACUUCAACCCACUGUACCUCCACCGACGCGUCCCCCUCCGUCAAGCUCCUCAGGCGCCUCCUCCGGUCCCGGCGCCCCCAAACCGGCCAACGACGAUCCCACUGAAAACGCCCGCCUUUUCCCUGGGCAACUUGGCGGCGCUGCUGAGCAGAGCGAUUCCGCUGGCAAGAGGAAGCAGUAGCCAACCCAGUCCGUCGACUGCACCUUCCAGAGGCACCUGGGUGGACCAGAAGGUUAAGAGUGGACAUGCCCCUCCGGAUAGGGCACUCUGUCCAGGUAGAGUCACUUCAUUAGAAGAAACAAUCAGGAGGUUUGCUGACAAACCCCCAGAGAUAAAGAACACUGAAUUUUGGCAGAGAUUGGGAGAUUAUAGUGAAGCCAGAGAUUGGGGUGAGUUUUGACUCACUCAGGGAACCAUACGAUUUCUAUAACCUGUAAUCUUAGGAUCUUGGAUUUGGUAUACAAUAUGGCAAGAGCCGGCUGAACGUCGAGCGGACAAAGUAUAUGCAGGAGAUCGUUUGUGGAUGCUCGGGGAGGCCUGAGCAGCAGAAUAACCGGUCUUGCCGGUGCGAGUGCCCGGCAAUGAUCAGAUUACUUACAGCUGCAGACAAUGAUGGUUCAUUGCUAACACAGGUCAAGCCACAACCAUUGGUUGUCUCUUACUUGCGGUGAGAAAGUUCAUUGGUCAUCGCGGUGAGAAAGUUCAUUGGCCAUCGCACAAGCACAAAGGAUUUGGUGAAGCAGCUUAGGGUGAACAAUGUGAACUUGAACAAGGUGUACAACAUAGUUGGCAACUUUUUGGUUCAACCCAGAAUGUGCCUUUCACAAAAGUGGACGCUGCGCAAUCUGUGUGGCAGGAUAAGUCGAGACCAGGCUGACGAUGAUGUACAUAAGACACUAGCUGUGUUCAAAGAGAUGCAGUGGAACGAUCCAGAAUUUACCUACCGAGUACGACGUGAUGAGGAAAGCAGGAUCAAGCGAGAUAACUAUGUUGUUUUAUGUGCAAAUUUUAGAUCAAGCGAGAGCCAUGGAAGUUGCAAUCAAGACGGAGUUACCCGAGACUGUGCACACCUACUCGGCGGCCCCGAUGAUACGGUCAGCGGUGCGCGUGGCGCUAUCUCCACGAGGAUGUUCUUCCUCCACCGACUCCCUCACGCACUCCGGUGGAAGCUGCCCCAUCAUUGGGUCUGCCGUUUCUCCACAAUAUCCCCCACGAGCUGAAGAUGUUCUUCCUCCCCUGCCUCCCUCGAACACUGGAGCUGUUGUUCGGUCGCCGUCCACAUCUGCAAGGCCCCCGUCAAGAUCCUCCAAGAACGAAGGGCUCCAAGAGGAACUAGCUGCAACUACGAGUGAAAAGCCUCAUCAAGAUCCUCACCAAGGUAUUCCCAUCAGAAUUAUGGAAUUGUUGAAAUGCUAAUAGCCUAAAAAAAUUCAAUUACACAUGCUUUAGCCUCAAACGGCACUCAAAGAUGUAACCUGUACGUGCUUUAGCAAAUACGUAUCCUUUUUCAAGUGCCACUACAUGCUUAAGAAUUACUCUGAACUUCUGUAGUGUGAAUUGCGUAGGUAGUGUCUGUUUUCAGCAAACAACCUUGUUUAUGUGAUGGUUCAUUUUUCAAAUGAUAUUAUUCUUGACUAACUUGUUUUGUAGAAACAAAUGAUGCUGCAGUCACAAGUCUUAGAAAAAUUAACAAGGCAGUAUUGGUGGUUUGUGAGAACUGAACCUUUGAAUCCAGUGAGAACCAGGAUGCUGGUAUUUUGAGUCCAGUGAGAACUGAACCUUUGAAUCCUUUUUUCAGGGCACUAUUCAGAUUCUUCUGAUAAGGCCUAGUUAGUGCUAAAAGCAUACAAUCAUGUUGGGGUACUUGUCAUAAAGUUCCUGUCAUGUCACUCCAUUCAGAAAACAAUUGCAGAUUUAUACAGCUGAUCAGACCGUAAACUUUGCUAAUUAUUUGCGGAGCAACAACUUGACAGCUUGCUCUUUCCUUGAUCAUUCCUUUCCAAUUGCUCAGGAACUUGCACAACAUACAGUAGAUUUCUAUCUCGUGUCUUACUCUAGUUUUCUCUAUGCCUUCUUAAAGCUGCUGGGAAAUUGUCAAACGGAUAGCUAACUUAGAAAAUAGUAAGAUUGGAAUCAGUACUUGCUAAUGCCUGACGCUUGAGGGGGAGACUGGUGUUCUGAACUUAAUUGCUUUUUGCACCUAACAGGUAAAUAUGUGAGAAGUUUAACUGUCCAUAUCAAUCUUAGUCAUACUUGUAAAAGUCUUUUUCAGGUAGUAGCCAUAUUAAACCACACAUCCUGUUCUCUUCAAGAACGGUGCAAACCUUUCAAAUUAUACAGCAGCCAAUCUAAAAAAAGGAUAUACACGAGUUAACUUAUAAGAUCCUAGUACACGUCAUUCAAAACUCUUCUGCUAAUUAAACUGCCUUUUGUGAAGACAUAGUAUAGUCAAGCAUUCAUAUUGUGAUUUCCAUGUACGGAAUUAUCUCUGAAUUCAUAUCCUAGAAGAGAAACGAUCUCCAAACCUCAUGCUCGAAUUAAAUUUGGUUUGCACAAGUAAUUAUUUACCAACUGGAUUCAAAUAUGUGAGCAUGACCAUUUAUGUACAAUAUUUUCGAUUAUGCCAAUGACCAUCUGCAAAUGCAUUAGUUCUCUUGUUCAUCUCACUGACGAUCAACCUAUUUCCGUUUUGUGUCAGGCCAAGUCUUCAAAGCAAAACAGCAGAAAGCAGGAAACUAAGCAGUAGUUUGUAAUCCUGUUGAGUUUACCGAAUGGGCAUCAUGUUUACCGCAUGUUGAGUUCAUCAUGUUUCUGAAUUUUGAGGUUUCUCUCGCUGGACACUGAAUCUUGUGUCUUGUGUCGUUCUGUACACUUUCAGAAUCUUGUGUCUUUCUGAAUGAGCAAGAAAGCAAGCAAAACGUUGAAUUUA
This is a long non-coding RNA of Triticum dicoccoides, 3001 nucleotides long. RefSeq lists it as uncharacterized. NCBI's taxonomy places the organism in Eukaryota, Viridiplantae, Streptophyta, Magnoliopsida, Poales, Poaceae. The record is from RefSeq and is a predicted model, not a curated record. The transcript has 5 exons.